Molecule: long non-coding RNA, 8481 nt
Filed under: Ananas comosus (pineapple)
Lineage: Eukaryota; Viridiplantae; Streptophyta; Magnoliopsida; Poales; Bromeliaceae
Description: long non-coding RNA (ACOM_LNC019596)
Source: RNAcentral
CGGUGACGGUGAGGGUGCGACGUGGUGCGGGGGCUGGAAAUGGCGCAAGUACAUUGUUUCAGAGGGAGGAAGGAGUGUGAGGUAGGGGUGGUGGUAGUGGCAGCGGCAGUGAGUGAGGGGAAGGGAAGGUAUUUAAUAGAAGAAGAUAGAUUAAUUAGAUGAUGUUGAGUUACAGUCUUUAAUUAAGUUGGAUAAAAGGUAAUUAUACUUGAAUGAUCCGGAUGUAAUAUUCUUGGUUGAGUUGGUGGGGGGUAUAAUUGUAAUUUUCUUUUAUGGUUAUCCACCCACCUACUCAACCAAUAUAUAUAUCCACCUGAGACUUUAGAGAGAAUUAAUUAUCUCGUUCAUCUCUUUAGCUUGGUCCGUUGAGGUGGAGCUCGGGUGGAGUGCCGUUGGAGCUUUGAUCGACGCCGACGUCUCGCGGCGGAGCCGUUCGAGCACGCGAGCAUCUUAGUCGCUGCAUGGGAAGGCCGGGCAAAGGUCCGAUUCUGCCGUUUUCGAUGUCGCACCGGAUUGUGAUUAGCGUUUGAGGUGGGUUUAUCAUCGGAAUCCUACUCGUAUAGUAUUGUUGGUCGACAUGUAUCGCUAAUAUUACAAGUUGUUAUUGUUUAGCUCAAAUUCAUGAGUAGAUAUGUUUUAGACAUAUAAACUGAAUUGGGAGCAUGUUAUUAGUUGUUAUUAAUCAUAUAUGUGGGAUUUGGAUAAAACAUAGGAGAAAACCAGCGUUCGAGACCUGGCAUAUGUUGAACUACCUAAUUUAGUCCUAGGGGCCGUUGUAUUUUUAUACUGUUACAGUAUCCUCAUAGUGAGUAUCCCAGGUAGUUCAGAUUUCAGUUACGCUCAUGCUGGAAUGCCGAGCCGAUUUUUACAGUAGUGUUUAUAGUGUUCCGGAUUAGUGGGUACCGUAGUGGUUGACGGCGGAUCCGGAUUUGAUCGUUCCGAUAUCAGAUUGUGCCGAGGGCACAUGACUAGGAGUUGGCAGUACUGUUAGACCUGUUUUCUUGAUUUUAGCCUGUGAGAGCCUGAUAGAGCUCGACAGAGAUACGCUUGCAUACUCGGUUGGGUCGCGCCCACGAGUGCCGCUCCGGAGUCUGGCUUUGUGCUUUUGCGUUGAUGUCGCUGAUUAGUUGCUAUCCACAGACUGUUUAGCGUGGAGGUAGCGCGGCUUAGACAGGCGGGACAGGUGCGUACACAGUCCCUAAUGAGAUUCAGUUAGAAUUGAUAGUAGACACAGUGGGAUAGUGUAGUGGCAUGUAGCUGUGGAUUUCUUUCCGGGUUUACCUUUUAGCCUUAUUUCCUACUGUAGUCUUAGUGGGUGAGCCGAUGAUUUUGAGGGCGGUACCCACUGAGAACUAUUUCUUUUUACAGUAGUUCUCACGCCCAGUUGUUACCCUGUGUUUUGCAGAGCCUGUUGUUCCGGCUGCUGCGUCUUCAGAGGCGGAUCGAGGCAAGGGCGUUACGAGCUAGAGCCCUACCCGUCGAAGCGCCGUGCUAGAGGAUCACCAGCUGCAGGUAGUAGUGUUUUUAUUUUGAGCUUAUGUACAUACUGAUACUAGAACUCGCUGGAGCGAGUGUUUUUGUACUUGUUAGUUUGUAUGUAUAUGAGAUUUAUUCGUUUUACCUGCUUAGUCCUUUUCAGCUCUACACUACUGUUUGUAGUAUUGUAUAUUUUACAUAGACAGCUAUCGCUUCGUAUACAGGAAAAAUUUCUUUAUAUACGGCAGAUUUCUCGGCGUGCCCGGGGGACGUGUAAUCCAGGGUGUGACAGAUUAAGUUGGUAUCAGAGCUUAGCAUUAAGUCAUUGGGACCUAAGAAACCUAAGUUUGGCAAACCUUAGGAAAGCAAGACGGGAGAGGCGUGAUUUAUUGCGAAAGUUAAUGAUUAAUUGUUAUAACUCACCCUGAGGGGAGUGAGUGAUUGGAGGAGUGCCUGUUCUGGCCUGCAAAAUUAUGUUGACUGCAGACGACAUAAUUUUGAGGAGAAACAGUGGCUGCCUUCCGGACUUUCGUUGAUUGGGUAGAGAGUAUUUGUGUUAUCUGACCCUGUUCUAUUUUUGCAGCUAUGUAUCGUCGUCGAGGCCGACCGUCGACAUGGGACCGGGCACAGUUGACACAGGAUCGUGUGGGACCCUCCAAGAUGCCUGAGCAGGCAAAGCCGAGUGCCCGGCAGGAGCAGGGUACACGACCAGAGGCAAGCGCAUCCCCCGAUUUGGGUGCUCAGUUGGCCGCUCUGACAAAGGUGACGAGGCGGCAAGGGGAGUUAUUGGAGAGGUUGUGUGAGAGGGUCACCCCGCCACAGAGUACCGUACCAGAGCAGAUUGUUCCACCUCCGACUGCUCCAGCGGCAGCACCAGCUACAGUAGUACCACCACCAGUGACCGUUCCUUCAGUGCUAGUUGCGCCGGUUGGUGAGGCAUCGCAGAUGACCGAGGCUGAGCAGGAGCGGAUGGCUGAGAGACUCGCUCGCUUUCAUCGUUUCGAUCCGCCGACUUUUGAUGGCCAAUGCACAGAGGCUUGGGUUGUUGAGGACUGGGUCAGCUCGAUGGAGAAAUUAUUUGAGGAUCUUUUCAUUCCUGAGCGGGAGCAGGUACAUCUGGGAGUGCAUUGCUUGACAGGGGAUGCCCUUGCUUAGUGGCGGAGAGUGAUGAGAGAUUACCAGUUGGUGACUUUACAGAUGACAUUGGACGAGUUCUGUGGAAUGCUGUAUGGGAUGUAUUUUUCCAACAGUGUGAAACAAAAGCUCGAGGAGGAUUUAAAGAACAUCCAGCAGGGGGACCGGACAGUACAGGAGUAUAUUCGAGAGUUCACGCGACUCUUGAACUGUGUGCCGUUUGUGGCUAGAGAUAAGGCACACAGAGUGUACCUUUUCGAGCAGGGUUUGAGGCCCGAGAUUUUUCGGUUGGUUCAGGUACAGAGGUUGAGGACCUUGGACGCGUCGAUGGAGCAGGCACUUUGGGUUGAGAGAGGUGAUGUAUCUAUUCGGGAGAGGACUCAGGCUGCAGGGCAGAGUCAGGAUAGGAAGUACUCAGCUCCAGAUGAGGGUGGACAGUCGAGCAGCCGGCGUCCACCGAGACCUCCACGAUCGCGUUCUCAAGGUCGUGGGUUCUCGGGACGUCAGCGUUCUGGGGGAUCGCGGCAGCAGAGGCAGUUACAGGGAUUACCACCAUGUGUGAUUUGUGGAGGACCGCACUGGGCCCGGCAGUGUAAGCAGCAUGAGGGCCGAUGUUUUGGAUGUGGACAGCCGGGGCAUAUGAGGUCUGCUUGCCCCCGAGCAGCAUCACCAGCACCAUCGACCGCUUCAACAGCAUCCGGAUCUCAGCAGAUUUCUGAAGCACCUCAGAGUUACCGCCAGGAGGACAGGGCAUCUGCGCCGCGACAGGGUGAGAGGCGACAACAGGCUCCGAGUGGCAGAGUAUAUGCAGCCCAGGUGGAGGACUCUUCAGCAGCCAACCGAGUGGUGGCAGGUAUUGUUUUGAUCUUUGGCAUUAGAGCUCGUACCCUUUUCGAUACCGGUGCAUCUCAUUCCUUUGUUAGCCGAGCAUUUGCAUUGUUGUAUAGUCUAGAAUUUGGAGCUUUGUCACAGGCACGGGAGGUACAGAUUCCCGAUCAUGUAUUACAGGUUGCAGAGUGUUGUUGGUCGUGUCCGGUGCAGUUGGAUUCGUGGAUCUUGCCCGCAGACCUGUUGGUUUUAGGGCAGCUGCAGGACUUCGACGUUGUGCUCGGUAUGGAUUGGCUGGCACGGUACUACUCUACGAUCGACUGUGGAGCGAGGACAGUGACGUUUCGCGAGCCAGGCCUGGUGGAGUUUACUUUUAGGGGCUACAGGAGUACGCUGUUCGCUACUUGGAUAUCUUCGGCGAGGGCUCGACAGCUGAUGAGCAGAGGAUGUAUCGCAUUUCUGGCGACGGUAGUAGAGGUACCUACGGCAACACCGGGACUCGAGGAUAUUCCUGUAAUUCGCGAGUUUCUGAAUGUGUUUCCCCCUGAGUUGACGAUGAUGCCGCCGGAGAGGCAGAUUGAGUUCGUGAUUGAUGUGGUUCCCAGAACUACACCAAUCUCGAAGGCACCUUACAGGAUGGCACCGGCAGAGCUGAGAGAGCUAAAGGCGCAGCUUCAGGAUUUGAUGGACAAAGGAUAUGUGGACCCAGUGUAUCACCUUGGGGAGCGCCGGUGUUAUUUGUAAAGAAGAAGGAUGGUUCGCUCAGGUUAUGUGUGGACUACCAGGAGCUGAAUAAAGUGACCAUCAAGAACAAGUAUCCCUUGCUGCGCAUUGAUGAUUUAUUUUAUCAGCUGCAGGGAUCUUGUGUCUUCUCGAAGAUUGAUCUCCAGUCAGGUUACCACCAGCUGAAGGUGAGGGCCGAGAAUGUUCCCAAGACGGCUUUUCGGACUCGGUACGGGCAUUAUGAGUUUACCGUGAUGCUUUUUGGAUUGACGAAUGCCCCUGCCGCAUUCAUGGAUUUGAUGAACAGAGUGUUCAAGCCGUUCUUGAAUAGAUUUGUCGUAGUCUUCAUCGACGAUAUCUUGAUUUACUCCAGGAGUAAUGCUGAGCAUGAUGAGCACUUGAGGAUUGUGCUACAGCUUCUGCAAGAGAAGAAGCUGUAUGCCAAGUUAAAGAAGUGCGAGUUUUGGUUGCGGGAGGUCGCUUUCUUGGGCCACGUAAUUUCUGCAGAGUGAGUAGCAGUGGACCCAAAGAAGAUUGAUGCUAUUCGGGAUUGGCCCAGACCGACGACGGUGACAGAGGUGAGGAGUUUUCUUGGACUAGCAGGAUAUUACCGUCGGUUUGUGGAGGACUUUGCGAAGCUUUCCACACCCCUUACCAGGUUGACACGGAAGGGGAUUCGGUUUGUUUGGUGUGAGGACUGCUAGAGGAGCUUCGACGAGCUGAGAUAGAGAUUGAUGUCAGCUCCUAUCCUUGCUCUCCCUGUGAUGGGGGAAGGAUUCGUGAUCUACAGUGAUGCAUCGCACAGUGGACUGGGUUGUGUGCUGAUGCAGUAUGGUAGGAUAAUUGCUUAUGCUUCACGGCAGUUAAAGGAUUAUGAGAAGAAUUACCCUACGCAUGAUUUGGAGCUUGCCGCGGUAGUAAUUGUUUUGAAGCUGUGGCGGUAUUAUUUGUACGGCGAGCACUGCGAGGUUUUCACCGAUCAUAAAAGUCUCAAGUAUCUGUUCACUCAAAAGGAAUUGAAUCUGAGGCAGCGCCGGUGGUUGGAGUUACUGAAAGACUAUGAUAUUAGUAUUCAGUAUCAUCCCGGCAGGGCGAAUAUAGUGGCAGAUGCAUUGAGCAGGAAGAUAGCGCAGAACUUGAGUUUGUUGAUCACUCAGCAGAGACCGCUACUUGAGGAGCUACAGCGGCUGAGGCUUGAAGUAGUGUCCCCUGGGUCUACAGCAAGACUGAUGUCUCUGGUCUUGCAGCCCACUCUGUUCGAUAGGAUUCGGGAGAAACAGAGUGGAGAUCCGCAUUUGUUGAGGAUUCGAGAGCAGUUAGAUAGGGGACAGGCGGAGGGUUUUGCUUUAGACAGUUCGGAAGUACUGCGGUACAGGGACCGACUAUGUGUGCCUGUAGAUUCUGAGAUCCUAGAGGACAUCUUGAGGGAGGCUCAUUGUUCACCUUAUACGGUUCACCCUGGAGGAACCAAGAUGUAUAAGGAUUUGAAGGCACAGUUUUGAUAGAAUGGGAUGAAGAGGGACAUUGGCAGAUUAUAGCUCAGUGUUUGACUUGCCAACAGGUAAAGGCCGAGCAUCAGGUAUCUGCUGGCAAGCUUCAGAGUCUGUCAGUGCCCGAGUGAAAAUGGGAGCAGAUCACGAUAGAUUUUGUUGUGGGGUUGCCUAGAGCACAGGGUGGCUAUGAUGCUAUUUGGGUGAUAGUGGACAGACUGACUAAGUUUGCUCACUUCCUACCAGUUCAGACCAACUGGUCCAGAGAGAGACUCGCGUAGUUGUAUCUGGAUGAGAUUGUCAGACUAUAUGGUGUACCAAUAUCGAUCGUAUCAGACCGGAACCCGAGAUUUGUGUCACAUUUUUUGAGGAGUUUACAGACAGCUUUGGGGACUCAGUUACAUUUCAGCAUAGCAUUUCACCCGCAGACGGAUUGUCAGUCGGAGCGGACCAUUCAGACUCUAGAGGACAUGCUGAGGGCAUGUGUCCUGAAUUUUGGAGGAGGGUGGUAUCGACACUUGAGACUAGCAGAGUUUGCAUAUAACAACAACUAUCAAACGAGCAUUCAGAUGGCUCCGUUUCAGGCAUUGUAUGGACGCAUGUAUCGAUCCCCGUUGUUUUGGAGUGAUGUGGAUGAGAGGAGGACACUUGGGCUUGAGAUUUUGCUAGAGGCUGAGGAAAAGGUGAGAGUUGUUCGACGACACCUUUUGACAGCCCAGAGCCGCCAAAGAGCUACGCCGAUACCAGGAGACGAGACUUGGAGUUCCAGGUUGGAGAUCAUAUAUUUCUUAAAGUCUCGCCGUCCAGAGGGAUUCGCCGAUUUGGAGUGCGUGGAAAACUCAGUCCGCGUUUCGUUGGCCCUUUUGAGGUAUUGGAGCCAGUUGGACCAGUUGCUUACCGGAUUGCUCUACCAACCUGACUUGCUGGUAUUCAUGAUGUGUUCCACGUCGCGGUGCUGAGGAGAUAUGUUUUCGAUCCUUCUCACGUGAUUGACUUCACUCCACUAGAGAUUGGCGAGGAUCUGAGAUACGAGGAACGACCGGUGCGGAUUCUUACUCGUGAGACGAAAGAAUUGCGCAACUGGGUCAUCCCGUAUGUGAAAGUGUAGUGGAGCAAUCACGAGGAGUGGGAGGCGACUUGAGAGCCUGAGACAGUGAUGAGGGAGUCCUAACCCGACCUGUUCGUUGCCCCGUCUUGAGGUAUAUUUUAUGUUUCGAGGACGAAACUUUUUAUAGUGGAGGAGGAUGUAAUAUCCUUGGUUGAGUUGGUGGGGGGUAUAAUUGUAAUUUUUUUUUAUGGUUAUCCACCCACCUACUCAACCAAUAUAUAUAUCCACCUGAGACUUUAGAGAGAAUUAAUUAUCUCAUUCAUCUCUAUAGCUUGGUCCGUUGAUGUGGAGCUCGGGUGGAGUGUCGUUGGAGCUCGGAUCGACGCCGACGUCGCACCGCGGAGCCGUUCGAGCACGCGAGCAUCUUAGUCGCUGCAUGGGGAGGCCGGGCGAGGGUCCGAUUCCGCCGUUUUCGAUGUCGCACCGGAUUGUGAUUAGCGUUUGAAGUGGGUUUAUCAUCGGAAUCCUACUCCUAUAGUAUUGUUGGUCGACAUGUAUCGUUAAUAUUACAAGUUGUUAUUGUUUAGCUCAAAUUCAUGAGUAGGUAUGUUUUAGACAUAUAAACUGAAUUGGGAGCAUGUUAUUAGUUGUUAUUAAUCAUACAUGUGGGACUUGGAUAAAACAUAGGAGAAAACCAGCGUUCUGGACCUGGCAUAUGUUGAACUACCUGAUUUAGCCAUAGGGGCCGUUGUAUUUUUAUACUGUUGCAGUAUCCUCAUAGUGAGCAUCCGAGGUAGUUCAGAUUUCAGUUACGCUCGUGCUGGGAUGCCGAGCCGAUUUUUACAGUAGUGUUUACAGUGUUCCGGAUUAGUGGGUGCCGUAGUGGUUGACGGCAGACCCGGAUUUGAUCGUUCCGAUAUCAGAUUGUGCCGAGGGCAUGUGACUAAGGGUUGGUAGUACUGUUAGACCUGUUUUCUUGACUUUAGCCUGUGAGAGCCUGAUAGAGCUCGACAGAGAUACGUUUGUAUACUCGGUUGGGUCGCGCCCACGAGUGCCGCUCCGGAGUCUAGCUUUGUGCUUUUGCAUUGAUGUCGCUGAUUAGUUGCUAUCUACGGACUGUUUAGCGUGGAGGUAGCGCGGCUUAGACAGCGGGACGGGUGCGUACACAGUCCCUAAUGAGAUUGGGUUAGAAUUGAUAGUAGACACAGUGGGAUAGUGUAGUGGCAUGUAGGUGUGGAUUUUUUUUCCGGGUUUACCUUUUAGCCUUAUUUCCUACUGUAGUCUUAGUGGGUGAGCCGAUGAUUUUGAGGGCGGUACCCACUGAGGACUACUUGUUUUUACAGUAGUUCUCACGCCCAGUUGUUACCCUGUGUUUUGCAGAGCCUGCUAUUCCGGCUGCUGCAUCUUCAGAGGUGGAUCGAGGCAAGGGCGUCGCGAGUUAGAGCCGUACCGGACGAAGCGCCGUGCUAAAGGAUCAUCAGCUGCAGGUAGUAGUGUUUUUAUUUUGAGUUUAUGUACAUACUGAUACUAGAACUCGCUGGAGCGAGUGUUUUUGUACUUGUUGAUUUGUAUGUAUAUGAGAUUUGUUCGUUCUACCUGCUUAAUUUUUUUCAGCUCUACACUACUGUUUGUAGUAUUGUAUAUUUUACAGAGACAGCUAUCGCUUCGUAUACAGAAAAAAUUUCUUUAUAUACGGCGGAUUUGGCGGCGUGUCCGGGGAACGUGUAAUCCGGGGCGUGACACCGUUGGUCCAGUUAAAGAGAAAAAAAUGCAUGAAAACUA